CCUACGGUAGGCAGCAGUGAGGAAUAUUGGUCCAUGGACGAGAGUCUGAACCAGCCAAGUAGCGUGAAGGACGACUGCCCUAUGGGUUGUAAACUUCUUUUAUAAAGGAAUAAAACGCGGCACGUGUGCCUUUUUGCAUGUACUUUAUGAAUAAGGAUCGGCUAACUCCGUGCCAGCAGCCGCGGUAAUACGGAGGAUCCGAGCGUUAUCCGGAUUUAUUGGGUUUAAAGGGAGCGUAGAUGGGUUGUUAAGUCAGUUGUGAAAGUUUGCGGCUCAACCGUAAAAUUGCAAUUGAUACUGGCAGUCUUGAGUACAGUUGAGGUAGGCGGAAUUCGUGGUGUAGCGGUGAAAUGCUUAGAUAUCACGAAGAACCCCGAUUGCGAAGGCAGCUUACUAAACUGUGACUGACAUUGAUGCUCGAAAGUGUGGGUAUCAAACAGGAUUAGAUACCCGAGUAGUC
Molecule: ribosomal RNA, 460 nt
Filed under: uncultured bacterium
Lineage: Bacteria
Description: partial 16S ribosomal RNA
Rfam family: Bacterial small subunit ribosomal RNA
Source: RNAcentral